RNAcentral lists this ribosomal RNA (573 nucleotides) under Alternaria sp. AJZ2. Its description in RNAcentral is "eukaryotic LSU rRNA". The stretch from base 198 to 351 matches the Rfam family "5.8S ribosomal RNA". The record is from RNAcentral. Lineage: Eukaryota; Fungi; Ascomycota; Dothideomycetes; Pleosporales; Pleosporaceae.
CUUCCGUAGGUGAACCUGCGGAGGGAUCAUUACACAAAUAUGAAGGCGGGCUGGAACCUCUCGGGGUUACAGCCUUGCUGAAUUAUUCACCCUUGUCUUUUGCGUACUUCUUGUUUCCUUGGUGGGUUCGCCCACCACUAGGACAAACAUAAACCUUUUGUAAUUGCAAUCAGCGUCAGUAACAAAUUAAUAAUUACAACUUUCAACAACGGAUCUCUUGGUUCUGGCAUCGAUGAAGAACGCAGCGAAAUGCGAUAAGUAGUGUGAAUUGCAGAAUUCAGUGAAUCAUCGAAUCUUUGAACGCACAUUGCGCCCUUUGGUAUUCCAAAGGGCAUGCCUGUUCGAGCGUCAUUUGUACCCUCAAGCUUUGCUUGGUGUUGGGCGUCUUGUCUCUAGCUUUGCUGGAGACUCGCCUUAAAGUAAUUGGCAGCCGGCCUACUGGUUUCGGAGCGCAGCACAAGUCGCACUCUCUAUCAGCAAAGGUCUAGCAUCCAUUAAGCCUUUUUUUCAACUUUUGACCUCGGAUCAGGUAGGGAUACCCGCUGAACUUAAGCAUAUCAAUAAGCGGAGGAA